CGCGUAUGCAACCUACCUCUUACUGGAGGAUAGCCCGAAGAAAUUCGGAUUAAGACUCCAUAGUAUUUCGAUUUCGCAUGAUUUUGAAAUUAAAGGUUACGGUAAGAGAUGGGCAUGCGUCCUAUUAGCUAGAUGGUAAGGUAACGGCUUACCAUGGCAACGAUAGGUAGGGGGCCUGAGAGGGUGAUCCCCCACACUGGUACUGAGACACGGACCAGACUCCUACGGGAGCAGCAGUGAGGAAUAUUGCACAAUGGGCGCAAGCCUGAUGCAGCCAUGCCGCGUGUGUGAAGAAGGCCC
Molecule: ribosomal RNA, 300 nt
Filed under: uncultured Fluviicola sp.
Lineage: Bacteria; Pseudomonadati; Bacteroidota; Flavobacteriia; Flavobacteriales; Crocinitomicaceae
Description: bacterial SSU rRNA
Rfam family: Bacterial small subunit ribosomal RNA
Source: RNAcentral